RNAcentral lists this ribosomal RNA (435 nucleotides) under uncultured bacterium. RNAcentral describes it as "partial 16S ribosomal RNA". It matches the Rfam family "Bacterial small subunit ribosomal RNA", at positions 29 to 507 of the family's 1533-position model. The record is from RNAcentral.
AACGAACGCUGGCGGCAGGCUUAACACAUGCAAGUCGAACGCAUGCCCUCGGGCAUGGGUGGCUGACGGGUGAGUAACGCGUGGGGAACUACCUCUUGGUCCGGCCUAGCUCUGGGAAAUUGGAGCUAAUAACGUAUGUGUAUUGCGGGUCAAAGCUUCAUCGGCAAGGGAUGGGGUCGAGUCGGAUUAGCUUGUUGGUGGGGUUACCGCCUACCCAGGCGAGGAUUCGUGGCUGGUCUUAGAGGAUGAUCAGCCACUAUGGGACUGAGACACGGCCCAAACUCCGACGCAGGGCAGCAGUGUGGAAUAUUAGACGAGGAACGCAAGCGUAAUCCAGCCAUGCCGGGGAAGAGAUGAAGGCCCUAGUGAUGUAAAGCUCUUUGACCGGUAGCGAUAAUGACGGUAACCGGAGAAGAAGCCCCGGCUAACUACGUG